UACGAAGGGGGCUAGCGUUGUUCGGAUUCACUGGGCGUAAAGGGUGCGUAGGCGGUCGGGUAAGUCUGACGUGAAAUCUUCAAGCUUAACUUGGAAACUGCGUCGGAUACUAUUCGGCUGGAGGAAUGGAGGGGAGACUGGAAUACUUGGUGUAGCAGUGAAAUGCGUAGAUAUCAAGUGGAACACCAGUGGCGAAGGCGAGUCUCUGGACAUUUCCUGACGCUGAGGCACGAAAGCCAGGGGAGCAAACGGG
RNAcentral lists this ribosomal RNA (253 nucleotides) under uncultured bacterium. Its description in RNAcentral is "partial 16S ribosomal RNA". It matches the Rfam family "Bacterial small subunit ribosomal RNA", at positions 524 to 776 of the family's 1533-position model. The record is from RNAcentral.